GACGAACGCUGGCGGCGUGCCUAACACAUGCAAGUCGAGCGAGUUGAUUCUCUUCGGAGAUGAAGCUAGCGGCGGACGGGUGAGUAACACGUGGGCAACCUGCCUCAUAGAGGGGAAUAGCCUCCCGAAAGGGAGAUUAAUACCGCAUAAGAUUGUAGCUUCGCAUGAAGUAGCAAUUAAAGGAGUAAUCCGCUAUGAGAUGGGCCCGCGGCGCAUUAGCUAGUUGGUGAGGUAACGGCUCACCAAGGCGACGAUGCGUAGCCGACCUGAGAGGGUGAUCGGCCACAUUGGGACUGAGACACGGCCCAGACUCCUACGGGAGGCAGCAGUGGGGAAUAGUGCACAAUGGGGGAAACCCUGAUGCAGCAACGCCGCGUGAGUGAUGACGGCCUUCGGGUUGUAAAGCUCUGUCUUCAGGGACGAUAAUGACGGUACCUGAGGAGGAAGCCACGGCUAACUACGUGCCAGCAGCCGCCGCGG
Molecule: ribosomal RNA, 480 nt
Filed under: uncultured bacterium
Lineage: Bacteria
Description: partial 16S ribosomal RNA
Rfam family: Bacterial small subunit ribosomal RNA
Source: RNAcentral